AUAGUACCUCAGGAGGGAAGAGUCGGCUAACUCUGGGCCAGCAGCCGCGGUAAUACAGAGGUCUCAAGCGUUGUUUCGGAUUUACUGGGCGUAAAGGGAGCGUAGGCGGUUUGGUAUGUCGAAUGUGAAGGCCCACAACUCAACUGUGGAAAUGCAUUCGAAACUGCCGGACUAGAGUACUGGAGAGGAGAGCGGAAUUCUUGGUGUAGCGGUGAAAUGCGUAGAUAUCAAGAGGAACACCGGUGGCGAAGGCGGCUCUCUGGACAGAUACUGACGCUGAGGCUCUAAAGUUAGGGGAGCAAACAGGAUUAGAUACCCUGGUAGUCCUAACCAUAAACGGUGUACACUUGGUGUGCGAGGAAUUGUCCCUUUGCGCGCCGGAGCUAACGCGUUAAGUGUACCGCCUGGGGAGUACGGUCGCAAGAUUAAAACUCAAAGGAAUUGACGGGGACCCGCACAAGCGGUGGAGCAUGUGGCUUAAUUCGAUGCAACGCGAAGAACCUUACCUGGACUUGACAUGCAAGUAGUAGAACCCUGAAAGGGGGACGAUCCCGCGCAAGCGGGAAGCUUGCACAGGUGCUGCAUGGCUGUCGUCAGCUCGUGCCGUGAGGUGUUGGGUUAAGUCCCGCAACGAGCGCAACCCUUGUGAUUAGUUGCCAUUAUUAAGUUAGGCACUCUAGUCAGACUGCCUGUGAUAAGCAGGAGGAAGGUGGGGAUGACGUCAAGUCAGUAUGGUCCUUAUGUCCAGGGCUGCACACGUGCUACAAUGGCCGGUACAGAAGGAAGCAAUACCGCGAGGUGGAGCUAAUCCCCAAAACCGGCCUCAGUUCGGAUUGGAGUCUGCAACCCGACUCCAUGAAGCUGGAAUCGCUAGUAACGGCGCAUCAGCUACGGCGCCGUGAAUACGUUCCUCGGGUCUUGUACUCACCGCCCGUCA
This 937-nucleotide ribosomal RNA is filed under the name uncultured bacterium. Its description in RNAcentral is "bacterial SSU rRNA". It matches the Rfam family "Bacterial small subunit ribosomal RNA", at positions 472 to 1399 of the family's 1533-position model. The record is from RNAcentral.